RNAcentral lists this unclassified non-coding RNA (269 nucleotides) under Gloeocystidiellum porosum. RNAcentral describes it as "partial internal transcribed spacer region". The stretch from base 1 to 46 matches the Rfam family "Eukaryotic small subunit ribosomal RNA", at positions 1786 to 1831 of the family's 1831-position model. Lineage: Eukaryota; Fungi; Basidiomycota; Agaricomycetes; Russulales; Gloeocystidiellaceae. The record is from RNAcentral.
AAGUCGUAACAAGGUUUCCGUAGGUGAACCUGCGGAAGGAUCAUUAUCGAAGCAAAGGGUCCUUCGGGUUGUUGCUGGCCUCCUUGCGGAGGCAUGUGCACACCCGUCGGGCCCGUAUCCUUCUCCACCCCUGUGCACCUUCGCGUGGGUCCGUCGGCGUUGAGCCUUCGGAUCCGCGUCUUAUCUAUGAACCCCAUGUAUGUCUUCAGAAUGUCUAAUGCGAUAAAAAGCAUCUUAUACAACUUUCAACAACGGAUCUCUUGGCUCUC